RNAcentral lists this ribosomal RNA (441 nucleotides) under uncultured bacterium. RNAcentral describes it as "partial 16S ribosomal RNA". It matches the Rfam family "Bacterial small subunit ribosomal RNA", at positions 338 to 795 of the family's 1533-position model. The record is from RNAcentral.
CCUACGGGUGGCAGCAGUGGGGAAUAUUGCACAAUGGGGGAAACCCUGAUGCAGCGACGCCGCGUGAGUGAAGAAGUAUUUCGGUAUGUAAAGCUCUAUCAGCAGGAACGAGACAAGACGGUACCUGACUAAGAAGCCCCGGCUAACUACGUGCCAGCAGCCGCGGUAAUACGUAGGGGGCAAGCGUUAUCCGGAAUCACUGGGUGGAAAGGGAGCGUAGACGGCUGAGCAAGCCUGAAGUGAAAGGCGGGGGCCCAACCCCUGGACUGCUUUGGGAACUGUACGGCUGGAGUGCAGGAGAGGUAAGUGGAAUUCCUAGUGUAGCGGUGAAAUGCGUAGAUAUUAGGAGGAACACCAGUGGCGAAGGCGGCUUACUGGACUGUAACUGACGUUGAGGCUCGAAAGCGUGGGGAGCAAACAGGAUUAGAUACCCCGGUAGUC